GACAGAGGUGGCAAGCGUUGUUCGGAAUUACUGGGCUUAAAGGGCGCGUAGGUGUCCCGACAAGUCAGAUGUGGAAGCUUUUCGCUUAACGAAAAAACAGCAUCUGAAACUGUCGGGAUUGAGUCAGCGAUGGGAUGGCGGAAUUCCAGGUGUAGCGGUGAAAUGCGUAGAUAUCUGGAGGAAGGCCGGUGGCGAAGGCGGCCAUCUGGCGCUGAACUGACACUGAGGCGCGAAAGCGUGGGAAGCAAAC
This 250-nucleotide ribosomal RNA is filed under the name uncultured bacterium. RNAcentral's name for it is "partial 16S ribosomal RNA". It matches the Rfam family "Bacterial small subunit ribosomal RNA", at positions 524 to 773 of the family's 1533-position model. The record is from RNAcentral.